AUUGAACGCUGGCGGCAGGCCUAACACAUGCAAGUCGAGCGGAGCGGCGGACGGGUGAGUAAUGCCUAGGAAUCUGCCUGGUAGUGGGGGAUAACGUCCGGAAACGGGCGCUAAUACCGCAUACUAUCAGAUGAGCCUAGGUCGGAUUAGCUUGUAGGUGAGGUAACGGCUCACCUAGGCGACGAUCCCUAGCUGGUCUGAGAGGAUGACCAGCCACACUGGAACUGAGACACGGUCCAGACUCCUACGGGAGGCAGCAGUGGGGAAUAUUGCACAAUGGGCGCAAGCCUGAUGCAGCCAUGCCGCGUGUAUGAAGAAGGCCUUCGGGUUGUAAAGUACUUUCAGCGGGGAGGCGUUACCCGCAGAAGAAGCACCGGCUAACUCCGUGCCAGCAGCCGCGGUAAUAC
Molecule: ribosomal RNA, 407 nt
Filed under: uncultured bacterium
Lineage: Bacteria
Description: partial 16S ribosomal RNA
Rfam family: Bacterial small subunit ribosomal RNA
Source: RNAcentral